RNAcentral lists this ribosomal RNA (440 nucleotides) under uncultured bacterium. RNAcentral describes it as "partial 16S ribosomal RNA". It matches the Rfam family "Bacterial small subunit ribosomal RNA", at positions 338 to 795 of the family's 1533-position model. The record is from RNAcentral.
CCUACGGGAGGCAGCAGUGGGGAAUAUUGCACAAUGGGGGAAACCCUGAUGCAGCGACGCCGCGUGAGUGAAGAAGUAUUUCGUUAUGUAAAGCUCUAUCAGCAGGGAAGAAAAUGACGGUACCUGAGUGAGAAGCCCCUGCUAACUACGUGCCAGCAGCCGCGGUAAUACGUAGGGGGAAAGCGUUAUCCGGAUUUACUGGGUGUAAAGGUAGCGUAGACGGGAGUGCAAGUCUGGAGUGAAAGGCGGGGGCUCAACCCCCGGACUGCUCUGGAAACUGUACGGCUGGAGUGCAGGAGAGGUAAGUGGAAUUCCGAGUGUAGCGGUGAAAUGCGUAGAUAUAAGGAGGAACAACAGUGGCGAAGGCGACUUACUGGACUGUAACUGACGUUGAGGCUCGAAAGCGUGGGGAGCAAACAGGAUUAGAUACCCUUGUAGUC